RNAcentral lists this long non-coding RNA (988 nucleotides) under Cairina moschata (Muscovy duck). RNAcentral describes it as "domestica (muscovy Duck (domestic type)) lncRNA (ENSCMMG00000000442.1)". Lineage: Eukaryota; Metazoa; Chordata; Aves; Anseriformes; Anatidae. The record is from RNAcentral.
UGACUCAAAUUAAAAUAGGUUGAUGCAGAUAUAUUUUUUUUAAGUAAACCUGACUUUUUCUUUGGUGGUUGUUUAUACUACUUCAAAAAAAAAAAAAAAGUCUUUAUUUAUAUAUAGCUCUGGUGGUAGUGAGACGUGAAAUACGAAAGCCAUGUCACUGCCAUGUGACCACAAGAUAUGACCACUAUUCUGAAGAGCAGAUUAGGAAAUGUCUUUGACCUUUUUUUUUCUUUUUCAUGUCCCUCCUGAUUGGAGAAGAGGGAUAUGCUGAUCAGGGGAUGAAUUGAUCUAGCAGUAUUUGUAAAUGGUAUAUGAAUUGAAUUGGUAAGAAAGUAAGUAUUUUAUCAUGUAGUGUUGGUAUAUUUUCUGUGCAGUCCUCAAUUUUGAAAAACCAAUGAAGGAAAAAGCCCUGAGGAAAUAGGCAUUUCCAAGAAAGCUUCUGACUUGUUCAGAGAGAGACAGUCCAUAUCCAGUUUCAAACUACUUAUUAUAAGUAGUCCCAUCUCCUUCCAAACUGUCCCACUUUGAGUCACAGACACAGCAGGAGAUGAGUUUUAAUCUCCAUUUUCUUCCAGUGCUUGGAUGAUGCAGGAACUGCUAGUGACUCAGUACAGCAGCACAAACUGUCUUCAUCUUACGUAAAAGCUCCAGGCUGCAUGAAAGCAGGAGCCUUACAUAAACAGCUAGUAUUUCAGGGUGAAAAAGCGUAUCAAAGAAGCAAAUCAACAGGGACAGCAUGAAAUAUCAGUGCCCAUUACAACAGGAGCUUCUUACAGGGACUCAGCUGUUGUCUCAUGGAAAGUGGGAUUUGCUUAGUUCCCAAUUUCAAGGAGGGUAGAUGCUGUGGUGAGGUCCAGGCAGCUUUGUGGAAACGUCUCCAAUGGGCUGGUAGGAUGAGAAGAUCCAGGGGUAGUUUGGAAAACGAGGAGAAGCAUCACCUCCCAAGACGGUAAACCUACUGAAAAGACUAUUCAAAUUCCAGAAGGAC